Molecule: RNA transcript, 2930 nt
Organism: Oncorhynchus kisutch (coho salmon)
Lineage: Eukaryota; Metazoa; Chordata; Actinopteri; Salmoniformes; Salmonidae
Gene name: pre-mRNA-splicing regulator WTAP
Exons: 8
Source: RefSeq, a predicted model, not a curated record
CUGUAGCAACUAGAGAGCUUUGAUGCGCUGCUGUGGUUGCCAUCGUCUCUCGGAUGAUGGCGGCGACACCGAAUCCCUACCGUGGCGAAUUCGAAUAACAAUAAUUAAGUUAGAAACCAAUUAAAAUCGGAUUGUAACGUUGCAUAUUAGUGCUAAGGCGGUCAACACAUACUGGUUUCGAAUAUUGAAGGAAACGGGUCCGGUAAGUGUUCAUUUGCGGCAGGGUUUAGCGAACACGAGUCCGCGAAAGGAAGAGGAACGCUAAUUUUGCAGGAGAGAGUCUGGAGUCUCUGCUUUCUCCGCCAUUUUGUGAUAACAAGAAGCAGAACACGAUAACCGACAGAGCUCAGAAUGACAAAUGAGGAACCUCUUCCAAAGAAGGUUCGCCUCAGUGAAUCUGACAUGAAGACCCUGACCAGAGAGGAACUGUGUGUGAGGUGGAACCAACAUGAAGCCUAUGUUCAGAUCCUGGAGGCAAAAUAUGCUGAUCUGAAUUCGAACGAUGUGACUGGGCUGAAGGAGUCUGAGGAGAAGCUGAAGCAGCAGCAGCAGGAGGCGUCACGCAGGGAGAACAUCCUAGUCAUGCGGCUCGCAACCAAGGAGCAGGAAAUGCAAGAGUGUACAACCCAGAUCCAGUACCUCAAGCAAGUCCAGCAACCCAGUGCCGCCCAACUGCGGUCAUCAAUGGUAGACCCGGCCAUCAACUUAUUUUUCCUCAAAAUGAAGGGAGAACUGGAACAGACUAAAGACAAACUGGAGCAGGCCCAAAAUGAACUGAGUGCCUGGAAAUUUACACCAGAUAGGUAAAGACAAUCAAAAUAACUCCCCCUCCUCCUCCCACCCCCACAAAAAAGUCAAGACCUCCUCACACCCCCCACCCCCUCUGCAGGCAUGCAGGAAUCAUGGUGGGGGGAUGGCUGAGAAAUGCUGUACUCACCACAAGACUCAGACUUUACCAAAUACACAAAAAACAAACUGCCACCCAUGUUUUGUGUACUCUUUUACUGUCCCCCAGCUACAUAUCACAUAAUCUAAACUGAAUGAAAAAAACAGUAUGGUCAGGUGACACUUGUUUCAGCUCUCUCACCCCCCCCUCACCGUCCAGGGGCCCUGAAGGAGUCGGGACUGUUCCUGAAGAGGUGGUCACGUCCGACACGGAUAUGCCCCCCACCGCCCCUCUCUCAGCCCAAGCCAGACAGUUGCCUUAUUAAAUGAGGGGGGGGGGGUUGUUAUGGUGGAGAUUGAGGCAGUCUUGGGCAAACUGCCGGAGCAGGGAGAGCACCCUUAGCCUAAAUAACCAAUUGAACAUUUAAAGACAAUGCCCCGCUAGCUAAAGACAUUUAAGUGGAAAACGCCACACCUAUACCCACUAGUGCUCCUGAGACUCUAAGACUCUUGGACAGAUUGUAGAAUACAAUGAAAAUACUGUGGGAAAGGUUCUAGGAUAAACUGUAAGACUUUCUAGGGAGGAGCCAGACCCUCAGUCCAGAAUUGACUAUGGUUGAGGCGUGCGUGAGCGAGGGUCUGAUUGCCUGUGUCUUUGAGCAUGGGCCCACAUACGGGUAGAGUGUAUUUACAUGUUUUAUUUUCCAGACGGGGAAGAAGCUAAUGGCCAAGUGCCGGAUGCUGAUCCAGGAGAACCAGGAGCUGGGGAGGCAGCUGUCCCAGGGACGUAUCGCCCAGUUGGAGGCAGAGCUGGCCCUGCAGAAGAAGUACAGCGAGGAGCUCAAGAGCAGCCAAGACGAGUUGAAUGAUUUCAUCAUCCAGCUGGAUGAGGAAGUAGAGGGCAUGCAGAGCACAAUCCUGGUCCUCCAGCAGCAGCUCAGGGAGACCCGCCAGCAGCUCUCCCAGAACCCAGCUCAGGCUGCCUCUGCUGGGGCAGGCCCCAGCAGGACUUCACCCUCCGCCGAGCCCCCCAGCCAGCCCGAGCAGCCCUCUGCCCAAGCCGGGAAAGACUGCGGAAGGGUCUCCAACGGCCCAAGCAACGGCAGCUCGUCCUCCCAGAGGGGUGCGGUGACCACCCCCAGCCUGUACCGCGAGGUCAGCAGCACAGAGGAAGACUUUCCCCCGUCCCCCAUGGUCUCCAGCCCUGGUGAGGGCGAGACGAAACUCUCCAACCACUCAGAGGAGGCAGCGGGGGGCCAGACUGGUGGCAGUGCAGGGGGUACAGCAGCAGGGGGGUUCGGGAGCCAGCUGAGCACAGGGUAUGAGAGCGUGGACUCCCCGACGGGCAGCGAAACGUCCCUGACGCAGCACUCGAACGACACAGACUCCAACACCGACCCCCACGAAGACAAGUCUGCCCUGGUCGUCAAGGGGAACAGGACUGCGGGGUCGCGGCAGGCUCAGAACGGCCUGAGCGUGAGCAGUGGCACAGUUUUGUAAUGUACUUUAUAAUAACACGUCAUUUGUCUUUUUCUUUUUAUACGAGACACAAACGCAUAGUUGGUAAAAACAGAACUGCUGUCCAGAACUUUUUCUCCUCUCCUUUGCCUAUCGUGAUACCUCUUCCACAAUUUAAAGAAAAGAAUUGCAUUGCUAAACAGGAACAUUACGUGAAAUGAAUUAAUGUAUGUGCAUAUGACUUGAGUUUUGUAUGAUUCAAGCUAGAUCUUUUUUUCUUUGGUCUCUUGGUUAUUUGAACAUGUUGCUCGAUAACGUUCUUGUUUGAACUCUUGACAAACUCAAAUGAUCAAGCAUCUGGUGUUGUAGUCAUGCUCAAUAAAAGUCAAACCACAGUUCACUUUAGUAGCUUUGCAAUGUUAAAUGAUAUCUUUUAGAUGUUGACUUUUAUUUUUUUUAAUCCUUGGCAAAUACAUUUCUGUUUGAAAAUGUGUGUAGUUUCUACGCGAUGUAACUUGAAUUCAUUAUUCUGACUUCCAUCCUUCUCAUGUACUGACCAAAUAUCAAUAAAGACUUUUAAUAUGGUA